RNAcentral lists this ribosomal RNA (696 nucleotides) under uncultured bacterium. RNAcentral describes it as "bacterial SSU rRNA". It matches the Rfam family "Bacterial small subunit ribosomal RNA", at positions 811 to 1500 of the family's 1533-position model. The record is from RNAcentral.
GGGCGCUAGAUGUAGGGACCUUUCCACGGUUUCUGUGUCGUAGCUAACGCAUUAAGCGCCCCGCCUGGGGAGUACGGCCGCAAGGCUAAAACUCAAAGGAAUUGACGGGGGCCCGCACAAGCGGCGGAGCAUGCGGAUUAAUUCGAUGCAACGCGAAGAACCUUACCCAAGGCUUGACAUACACCGGAAACGGCCAGAGAUGGUCGCCCCCUUGUGGUCGGUGUAACAGGUGGUGCAUGGUUGUCGUCAGCUCGUGUCGUGAGAUGUUGGGUUAAGUCCCGCAACGAGCGCAACCCUCGUUCUAUGUUGCCAGCGGGUUAUGCCCGGGGACUCAUAGGAGACUGCCCGGGGUCAACUCGGAGGAAGGUGGGGAUGACGUCAAAUCAUCAUGCCCCUUAUGUCUUGGGCUUCACGCAUGCUACAAUGGCCGGUACAAAGGGCUGCGAUACCGUAAGGUGGAGCGAAUCCCAAAAAGCCGGUCUCAGUUCGGAUUGAGGUCUGCAACUCGACCUCAUGAAGUCGGAGUCGCUAGUAAUCGCAGAUCAGCAACGCUGCGGUGAAUACGUUCCCGGGCCUUGUACACACCGCCCGUCAAGUCAUGAAAGUCGGUAACACCCGAAGCCGGUGGCCUAACCCUUGUGGAAGGAGCCGUCGAAGGUGGGAUCGGUGAUUAGGACUAAGUCGUAANAAGGUACC